Hucho hucho (huchen) is the source of this 119-nucleotide ribosomal RNA. NCBI's taxonomy places the organism in Eukaryota, Metazoa, Chordata, Actinopteri, Salmoniformes, Salmonidae. The record is from Ensembl.
ACUUACGGCCAUACCAUCCUGAAUACGCCCGAUCUCGUCUGAUCUCGGAAGCUAAGCAGGGUCAGGCCUGGUUAGUACUUGGGUGGGAGACCUCCUGGGAAUACCAGGUGCUGUAAGUG